GAUGAACGCUGGCGGCGUGCCUAAUACAUGCAAGUCGAGCGAACAGACGAGGAGCUUGCUCCUCUGACGUUAGCGGCGGACGGGUGAGUAACACGUGGAUAACCUACCUAUAAGACUGGGAUAACUUCGGGAAACCGGAGCUAAUACCGGAUAAUAUAUUGAACCGCAUGGUUCAAUAGUGAAAGACGGUUUUGCUGUCACUUAUAGAUGGAUCCGCGCCGCAUUAGCUAGUUGGUAAGGUAACGGCUUACCAAGGCAACGAUGCGUAGCCGACGUGUGAGGGUGAUCGGCCACACUGGAACUGAGACACGGUCCAGACUCCUACGGGAGGCAGCAGUAGGGAAUCUUCCGCAAUGGGCGAAAGCUUGACGGAGCAACGCCGCGUGAGUGAUGAAGGUCUUCGGAUCGUAAAACUCUGUUAUUAGGGAAGAACAAAUGUGUAAGUAACUAUGCACGUCUUGACGGUACCUAAUCAGAAAGCCACGGCUAACUACGUG
This 497-nucleotide ribosomal RNA is filed under the name uncultured bacterium. RNAcentral's name for it is "partial 16S ribosomal RNA". It matches the Rfam family "Bacterial small subunit ribosomal RNA", at positions 28 to 507 of the family's 1533-position model. The record is from RNAcentral.